GUAAUGUCUGGGAAACUGCCUGAUGGAGGGGGAGUAACAUUCUGAAAAGAAUGCUAAUACCGCAUGACAUAUCGGAACCACAUGGUUUUGUAUAUCAAAGAUUUUAUCGCUUGAAGAUGGACUCGCGUCCGAUUAGUUAGUUGGUGAGGUAACGGCUCACCAAGACCGCGAUCGGUAGCCGGACUGAGAGGUUGAACGGCCACAUUGGGACUGAGACACGGCCCAGACUCCUACGGGAGGCAGCAUG
RNAcentral lists this ribosomal RNA (247 nucleotides) under uncultured bacterium. Its description in RNAcentral is "partial 16S ribosomal RNA". It matches the Rfam family "Bacterial small subunit ribosomal RNA", at positions 110 to 353 of the family's 1533-position model. The record is from RNAcentral.